AACGUACCUUGCACUCUUUGGUAUUCCGAAGAGUAUGUCUGUUUGAGAGUCGUGAAAUUCUCAACCCCCCUAUUUUGUAAUGAGAUGGGUGUGGGCUUGGAUUAUGGCUGUCUGUCGGCGUAAAGUCGGCUCGGCUGAAAUACACGAGCAACCCAUUUGAAAUAGACGGCUUGACUUGGCGUAAUAAUUAUUUCGCUGAGGACGUCUUCUUCAAAAAUAAGAGGUGCUUCUAAUGCGCUUUUUAGCACUUUUUUACAUACCUCAAAUCAGUCAGGACUACCCGCUGAACUUAA
RNAcentral lists this unclassified non-coding RNA (293 nucleotides) under uncultured fungus. RNAcentral's name for it is "partial contains 5.8S ribosomal RNA, internal transcribed spacer 2, and large subunit ribosomal RNA". The record is from RNAcentral. Lineage: Eukaryota; Fungi.